Molecule: ribosomal RNA, 253 nt
Filed under: uncultured bacterium
Lineage: Bacteria
Description: partial 16S ribosomal RNA
Rfam family: Bacterial small subunit ribosomal RNA
Source: RNAcentral
AACGUAGGUGGCGAGCGUUAUCCGGAUUUACUGGGCGUAAAGCGUGUGCAGGCGGGGUGACAAGUGGUGUAUGAAAUCUCCGGGCGAAACCUGGAGGGGUUAUGCCAGACUGUCAUUCUAGAGUGCGAGAGAGGGGCGUGGAAUUCCGGGUGUAGUGGUGAAAUGCGUAGAGAUGCGGCGGAACACCGAUGGCGAAGGCAGCCCCCUGGGCUGAGAUUGACGCUCAGGCACGAAAGCGUGGGGAGCAAACAGG